UAGAGGAAGUAAAAGUCGUAACAAGGUUUCCGUAGGUGAACCUGCGGAAGGAUCAUUAUCGUAGGGCUUCGGCCCUGUCGAGAUAGAACCCUUGCCUUUUUGAGUACCUUUCGUUUCCUCGGCAGGCUCGCCUGCCAAUGGGGACCCCAAAAAACACUUUGCAGUACCUGUAAUAGUCUGAACAAACAAACAAAAAUUAAAACUUUCAACAACGGAUCUCUUGGUUCUGGCAUCGAUGAAGAACGCAGCGAAAUGCGAUAAGUAGUGUGAAUUGCAGAAUUCAGUGAAUCAUCGAAUCUUUGAACGCACAUUGCGCCCUUUGGUAUUCCUUAGGGCAUGCCUGUUCGAGCGUCAUUUAAACCUUCAAGCUCAGCUUGGCGUUGGGUGACUGUCCGCUUCACCGCGGACUCGCCUCAAAAUUAUUGGCGGCCGGUACAUUGGCUUCGAGCGCAGCAGAAACGCGAACUCGGGCCCGUCGUAUUGGCUCCCAGAAGCUAUCUUCACAAUUUUGACCUCGGAUCAGGUAGGGAUACAAAAAUGAACUUAAGCAUAUCA
Molecule: ribosomal RNA, 555 nt
Filed under: Ascomycota sp. UNEX FECRGA 2012E010
Lineage: Eukaryota; Fungi; Ascomycota
Description: eukaryotic LSU rRNA
Rfam family: 5.8S ribosomal RNA (bases 201-354)
Source: RNAcentral